AUGUGCCUGCUCCAGCGAGCGGCGCUCUACUUUCUGGGUGGCGCUGACGACCGCGAGGCGCUGGCGUACGCGGCGCGGAUGCCGGAGACCGGGACCAUGUCGCUGACGGUGGUGCGGUUCAAGCUCCGGAACUGGGUUGGGAUGGGCGGGCGCGACGAGGCGAGGCGAGGGACGAGGAGCUGCUGCAGGAGUUCUGGAGCAGGCACAGGGACAACGAGCGGGGUGGUGUACGUGGAGAAGACGGUGGAGGACGCGGAGGGCACAGCGUCCGUGGUGCGCGCCAUGAGCGAGGAGUUCUGCAUCCACGGCGGGGGAGGCGGCGUCGAGGCCUCGUCGCCUUCCAUGGCGAAAUCGAGACCGCAUCUUAGCAGGGAGAAGGAUAAUGAGGAGGAAGAAAGUGAUAGAGAUGGUUUCUUCCGCAGAUUACUCAGGGAUAGCAAAGAGGAGGACAUGGAACUGACACCAAGCUCAGAUGGUUUGUUGAAGCGACUUUUUCGUGAUAAGGAGGACAGGCAAGGUGAGGAUGAUGAGAAGGAUUUUUUCGCAGGAUGUUCAAGGAUAAGAACGAGGAGAGGAGAGAUAGUAAUCAUGCAAGACAUGGGAAUGAGGAAAGACUGGGCAAGAGUGUGGAAGAUGAUGACAGAGAAGGUUUCUUCCGCAAAAUUUUCAAAGAUAAGAAUGAGGAGAGGAAAGAUGAAGGGCAUCAAAAGCCAGAUGAGAGAGAAAAGGUUGGUGCGAACAUAGAAGAUGAUAAGAGAGAUGGUUUUUUCAGGCAACUCUUUAAGGAGAAAAACGAUGAGAAAAAGGAAGGCAGCACACCAAGCAAGAAAGAGGAAGAUGAUAAAGGCCAUAAAAAUGCAGAUGAUGAUAAUUUCUUUCGCAGGCUUUUCAACGAUAAGAAUGAAGAAAAGAAAGGGAUUGUUCAUGACAGGAAUGAAGAUGACAAGUGUGAGGAAGGUGAUAAAGAAAACUUCUUCCGCAAAUUAUUUAAGGAUAAACUUGAGGAGAGGAGAACUGAGGGACCUGAUAAAAAUGAUGAUUAUGGUAAGGGAAGUAGUGGUAUCGAAGAGGAAGAUAAUCCAGAGUUUUUGUCAUUCCGUAGGUUGUUUAGAGUGCACCCAGAAGAUCCUAAGAGUGGGCACAUAGAAAGCAGUCAAUCUAACAAUCUUUCUGAGGGGAGCCUAGGAUCAGAAAGCUUUUUUAAGAGGCUAUUCCGUGAUAGAGACCGCUCACUUGAAGAUUCUGAGAUUUUUGGGUCAAAAAUGGCAAAAGAGAAACACCCUGGUACUACAGGAAUCAAUGAGAAGCAAAGUGGGAAACCACCAUUACCAAUUAAUGCAGUAGCAGAGCUUCGAAAAGGUUCUUACUAUGCUUCGUUGGAACUUGUUCAGGCUUUAUGUGAUACAUCUUAUGGCCUGGUAGACAUAUUUCCUAUUGAGGAUCGUAAGAUUGCCCUCCGGGAGUCUCUUAUAGAGAUCAAUAGCCAGAUUGCUUCUGCUGAAAAAAAUGGAGGAGUAUGCUUUCCGAUGGGAAAGGGCAUAUAUCGAGUGGUUCAUAUACCUGAAGACGAGUCUGUUCUUCUGAAUUCUAGGGAGAAAGCUCCUUACCUUAUAUGUGUUGAAGUUUUAAAAGCAGAAGCUCCUAGCCACUCUAAAGGAUCAUCAGAUGGGCACAAAUUAUCAAAAGAUGGGAUACCAUUGGCUAAUGGAGAUGUGCAACUACCAAAACCACCUCCAUGGGCCUAUCCUUUGUGGAGCAGACACGAAACACAAAACUAUGAAACAGACAUAAUGUUGAAGUCUACUUCUCAGGUUAUUGACCAAGCAAUGGCUCAACUCUGGGAGACUAAAGUAAAAUUUGUAAAUGUUAGUUUCUCUAUUGAGAAACUUGGUCGCGCAAAGAGCAUUGUACUUUCUGAAACGGGUCGUAGGCUGCGACAUGAUGCUACGGAUUCAAAUAUGAUUGUGUGCAAAGCACGAACAUUUUACUAUAACAAUGAAACCCACAUUUGUACAUAAUUCAU
RNA transcript from Zea mays, 2023 nucleotides. It is a transcript of the gene named phosphatidylinositol 4-kinase beta 1-like, with no coding region annotated. The record is from RefSeq and is a predicted model, not a curated record. The transcript has 6 exons. Lineage: Eukaryota; Viridiplantae; Streptophyta; Magnoliopsida; Poales; Poaceae.